RNAcentral lists this ribosomal RNA (497 nucleotides) under uncultured bacterium. RNAcentral describes it as "partial 16S ribosomal RNA". It matches the Rfam family "Bacterial small subunit ribosomal RNA", at positions 28 to 507 of the family's 1533-position model. The record is from RNAcentral.
GAUGAACGCUGGCGGCGUGCCUAAUACAUGCAAGUCGAGCGAACGGACGAGAAGCUUGCUUUUCUGAUGUUAGCGGCGGACGGGUGAGUAACACGUGGAUAACCUACCUAUAAGACUGGGAUAACUUCGGGAAACCGGAGCUAAUACCGGAUAAUAUUUUGAACCGCAUGGUUCAAAAGUGAAAGACGGUCUUGCUGUCACUUAUAGAUGGAUCCGCGCUGCAUUAGCUAGUUGGUAAGGUAACGGCUUACCAAGGCAACGAUGCAUAGCCGACCUGAGAGGGUGAUCGGCCACACUGGAACUGAGACACGGUCCAGACUCCUACGGGAGGCAGCAGUAGGGAAUCUUCCGCAAAGGGCGAAAGCCUGACGGAGCAACGCCGCGUGAGUGAUGAAGGUCUUCGGAUCGUAAAACUCUGUUAUUAGGGAAGAACAUAUGUGUAAGUAACUGUGCACAUCUUGACGGUACCUAGUCAGAAAGCCACGGCUAACUACGUG